This 240-nucleotide unclassified non-coding RNA is filed under the name soil metagenome. Its description in RNAcentral is "partial contains 5.8S ribosomal RNA, internal transcribed spacer 2, and large subunit ribosomal RNA". The record is from RNAcentral.
AACCAUAGAAACCUGCGGAGUACCUGCGGAGGGAUCAUUAACAAAUCCAUCAUACGAUGACCCUACCUUGUGUGCACCUGUAAAUAACUGCCCUUUAGAGUAAAGGAUUGGACUGGGGGUCGGUGACCCUUGUCUGGUUGCCACUGCUUGCCAACCUUUUUCUAAAGGGUUUUUUAUAAACGUCUUUUGAACAAAUAAAAAUUUUAAACCAUAACAAAUACAACUUUUAGCAACGGAUCU